GGGCAUUUGAUUUGUACUGUAAUUUUACUAAUGUCUUUUGCAGAGGUGGGGAUUACAAUUAGAAAUAAGUCAAUAAUGUGUUUUCUGGCUUGGUAUUAUUUUCCUAACUUCUGAACUACAUCUGAAAAGUACAUGGAAGUUGUGUAUCUGCUUUCUUAGCAUCAUCUUGUUUUUUUAUCCUCCCUCUGUACCAGGGAUUGAAUCCAGGGCACUUAACCAUGAGCCACAUCACCAACCCACUCCCCCCCUUUUUUUCUUUUAUUUUGGGCGGGGCGGGGGGGGGUACAGGGGAUUGAACGCCAGGGCACUUAACCACUAAGCCACACUCCCAGCCCCCUAUUUUGUAUUUUAUUUAGAGACAGCAUCUCAUUGAGUUGCUUAGCACCUUGCUUUUGCUGAGGUUGGAUUUGAACUUGCCAUUCUCCUGCCUCAGCCUCCCAAGCAGCUGUAACUAUAGGUGUACACCAUUGAACCCAGCUUUUAGCAUCAUCUUUUUCCUUCAGAAUCAUUCUCUUUAAAAUCAGGAGUCUAACACAUUCCCCAUCAUUCCUACCCCCCUACCCCUUUGCCCCCUCCUUUUCUGCUCCCUCCCCUUUGCCCUAUCUAAAGUUCUUCCAUUCCUUUCCCAUGCCCCACCCCCAUUGCCAUUAUGGGUCUGCAUGCUCAUAUCAAAGGAAAUAUUCCAGCCUUUGGUUUUGGGGGAUUGGCUUGCUUCACUUAGCAUUGUAUUCUCCAACUACAUCCCAUUUACCUGCAAAUGCCAUGAUUUUAUUCUCUUAAUGCUGAGUAAUGUUCCAUUGUGUAAGUAUACCAAAGUUUUCCUAUCCAUUCAUCUAUUGAAGGGGAUGGUGGAAUGAGUUAGACAUCAUUACCCCAAGAACAUGUAUAAGACACGAAUGGUGUGAAAAUACUUUGUGUACAACCAGUGUCGUGAAAAAUUGUGUUCUAUAUGUGUAAUUUGAAAUGAAUUGCAUUCUUCCAUCAUGUAUAACAAAUCAGAAUAAAUAAAUUUUUAAAAAGCCAAAGAGAAAAAGUUAAAAACAGCCUCAUCUUAUGGCAUUUUUAUAAAAGGACCCAAAUACAUAUUGCCUCCCUUUCUAUUGUAAAUAAUUUAC
RNAcentral lists this long non-coding RNA (1115 nucleotides) under Marmota monax (woodchuck). The record is from RNAcentral. Lineage: Eukaryota; Metazoa; Chordata; Mammalia; Rodentia; Sciuridae.